RNAcentral lists this transfer RNA (63 nucleotides) under Polydora cf. ciliata DS-2023. RNAcentral's name for it is "tRNA-Pro". Lineage: Eukaryota; Metazoa; Annelida; Polychaeta; Spionida; Spionidae. The record is from RNAcentral.
UAAGGAAUAGUUUAAAAAAUACAUACCUUGGAAGUAUGAGAUCAGGAAAUUCCUGUUCCUUAA